AGAGAGAAGAGGGCCCUAAACAGAGUCUCAGAGUUAUCAAGUAUGACCCUAGAUUGUUGUUGUUGCUAUUGGUGAUGGAAGGAGAGUUCAUCCUUUGUUCUUCAAGAAGACCAGUGAUAGACAUCACAAGAGUGAUGUAAAGAUCCAGCACAAAAGACAGAAGAAUCAAUCAGACAGGGCGAUCUCCAGUUGUUCUGACCUAUAUCUGGCUACUGAACCCAGAUGGUUCUGGAUGUGAAAGUAAGGUGUCUACAGAUGUGCAACCUUGAGGACAGAAGCAAGGGAGGAAAAGGUUCUGGUAAACUUUGCCUGCCUCUGGCUUUGCCCUUUCUUUGGCCAGAGUCUAAGAUGUAACCCCGUCCUGAGUGUAAUGACAAGUAAAUGUCUAAGUCAUGAAUUAGAUAACUUCUCUAGGAAGUUAGAAACUAUCUAAAUGUUUUUAAAAUGCCAACCCCAUUAUGCAUUACACAGAUGUGCCACUUGUAAUGAUGAAUACCCUAUGAAUCUUUAGCUGUUUACCCAGAAUGUCUAUAGCAAUUAUCUGAGGUCCUAAAAAUAAAAUCAUGCUAUUUAUUGAUAAAUCUGUCAGUAGAAAUAUAUAAUAAUUUAAAUUCUAUGGCUGAUGAUAUGAGAUUCAAGGAAAUGUAUCACAGAUGCCAAUCCUUCCUUUAAACCAGUUGCAAAUUAUUGAGUUCUAUGCCAAAAGAGGUAUUUGUGAUUGCUAUCAUUGUUUCUAAGGAAGCUAGUUGUCACAGUGGAUAGACUGUCCAGCCAGAAGUUUGGAAGGAAUUCAAAUCUG
Long non-coding RNA from Sarcophilus harrisii (Tasmanian devil), 799 nucleotides. RefSeq lists it as uncharacterized. The transcript is spliced from 3 exons. The record is from RefSeq and is a predicted model, not a curated record. Lineage: Eukaryota; Metazoa; Chordata; Mammalia; Dasyuromorphia; Dasyuridae.